UUAUUCAAUUAACUUUUGACUCCGACGCAAGGAUGCAGUGUUUUGAUGACCUCUGGGGGGAAUGCCGCGAACGGCAGGGUCGCCCCCAAAGCAACGAGAUGUGUUCACAAAGGGUUGGAGGUCGGGAUUGCUCCCUCACUCGGUAAUGAUCCCUCCGCAGGUUCACCUACGGAGA
RNAcentral lists this unclassified non-coding RNA (175 nucleotides) under uncultured fungus. RNAcentral's name for it is "sequence contains ITS1". Lineage: Eukaryota; Fungi. The record is from RNAcentral.